RNAcentral lists this ribosomal RNA (385 nucleotides) under uncultured bacterium. RNAcentral's name for it is "bacterial SSU rRNA". It matches the Rfam family "Bacterial small subunit ribosomal RNA", at positions 29 to 440 of the family's 1533-position model. The record is from RNAcentral.
AGCGAACGCUGGCGGCAGGCCUAACACAUGCAAGUCGAGCGCCCGUAGCAAUACGGGAGCGGCAGACGGGAUAGUAACACGUGGGAACGUACCCUUCAGUUCGGAACAACCCAGGGAAACUUGGGCUAAUACCGAAUACGUCCGUAAGGAGAAAGAUUUAUCGCUGAAGGAUCGGCCCGCGUCUGAUUAGCUAGUUGGUGAGGUAAUGGCUCACCAAGGCGACGAUCAGUAGCGGUCUGAGAGGAUGAUCAGCAUCACUGGGACUGAGACACGGCCCAGACUCCUACGGGAGGCAGCAGUGGGGAAUAUUGGACAACGGGCGCAAGCCUGAUCCAGCCAUGCCGCGUGGAUGAUGAAGGCCCUAGGGUUGUAAAGUCCUUUCGGC